AGUCGGGCAAGAUGUCUGCUUGCAACCUGCAGGCUGUAUAAUCGGAAACUGCUUUCCUUUGACCGCGGAUGUACCGGCACUGUCGAAAGCAAGUUUACCCAGGGAGGUCAGGCUGAUUGCCUGGCCUUUUUUGUU
RNAcentral lists this small RNA (135 nucleotides) under Rhizobium sp. PDO1-076. Its description in RNAcentral is "Alphaproteobacterial sRNA ar35". It matches the Rfam family "Alphaproteobacterial sRNA ar35". Lineage: Bacteria; Pseudomonadati; Pseudomonadota; Alphaproteobacteria; Hyphomicrobiales; Rhizobiaceae. The record is from Rfam by way of RNAcentral.